Molecule: ribosomal RNA, 524 nt
Filed under: Bifidobacterium adolescentis
Lineage: Bacteria; Bacillati; Actinomycetota; Actinomycetes; Bifidobacteriales; Bifidobacteriaceae
Description: bacterial SSU rRNA
Rfam family: Bacterial small subunit ribosomal RNA
Source: RNAcentral
GGUAAUGCCGGAUGCUCCAGUUGGAUGCAUGUCCUUCUGGGAAAGAUUCUAUCGGUAUGGGAUGGGGUCGCGUCCUAUCAGCUUGAUGGCGGGGUAACGGCCCACCAUGGCUUCGACGGGUAGCCGGCCUGAGAGGGCGACCGGCCACAUUGGGACUGAGAUACGGCCCAGACUCCUACGGGAGGCAGCAGUGGGGAAUAUUGCACAAUGGGCGCAAGCCUGAUGCAGCGACGCCGCGUGCGGGAUGACGGCCUUCGGGUUGUAAACCGCUUUUGACUGGGAGCAAGCCCUUCGGGGUGAGUGUACCUUUCGAAUAAGCACCGGCUAACUACGUGCCAGCAGCCGCGGUAAUACGUAGGGUGCAAGCGUUAUCCGGAAUUAUUGGGCGUAAAGGGCUCGUAGGCGGUUCGUCGCGUCCGGUGUGAAAGUCCAUCGCUUAACGGUGGAUCCGCGCCGGGUACGGGCGGGCUUGAGUGCGGUAGGGGAGACUGGAAUUCCCGGUGUAACGGUGGAAUGUGUAGAUA